Molecule: ribosomal RNA, 505 nt
Filed under: uncultured bacterium
Lineage: Bacteria
Description: partial 16S ribosomal RNA
Rfam family: Bacterial small subunit ribosomal RNA
Source: RNAcentral
GACGAACGCUGGCGGCGUGCUUAACACAUGCAAGUCGAACGGUGAAGCGCUUGCCUUUUUGGUGGGUGUGGAUGAGUGGCGAACGGGUGGGUAACACGUGAGUAACCUGCCCUCUUCUUCUGGAUAACCUCAUGAAAGUGGGGCUAAUACGGGGUAUUCCGGGUCUGUCGCAUGGCGGGUUUGGGAAAGAUUGCGCCUUUGGGUGUUUUCGGUGGGGGAUGGGCUCGCGGCCUAUCAGCUUGUUGGUGGGGUGAUGGCCUACCAAGGCGGUGACGGGUAGCCGGCCUGAGAGGGUGGACGGCCACACUGGGACUGAGACACGGCCCAGACUCCUGCGGGAGGCAGCAGUGGGGAAUAUUGCACAAUGGGCGCAAGCCUGAUGCAGCGACGCCGCGUGAGGGAUGGAGGCCUUCGGGUUGUGAACCUCUUUCGCCAGUGAAGCAGGCCUGCCUCGUUUGUGGGUGGGUUGACGGUAGCUGGAUAAGAAGCGCCGGCUAACUACGUG